UACGUAGGGGGCAAGCGUUGUCCGGAUUUAUUGGGCGUAAAGAGCGUGUAGGCGGCCUGACAAGUCUGCUGUGAAAACUCGAGGCUCAACCUCGAGAUGUCGGCGGAAACUGUCUGACUAGAGUCCGGAAGAGGAGAGUGGAAUUCCUGGUGUAGCGGUGAAAUGCGCAGAUAUCAGGAAGAACACCUAUGGCGAAGGCAGCUCUCUGGGACGGUACUGACGCUGAGACGCGAAAGCGUGGGGAGCGAACAGG
RNAcentral lists this ribosomal RNA (253 nucleotides) under uncultured bacterium. RNAcentral's name for it is "partial 16S ribosomal RNA". It matches the Rfam family "Bacterial small subunit ribosomal RNA", at positions 524 to 776 of the family's 1533-position model. The record is from RNAcentral.